Molecule: transfer-messenger RNA, 348 nt
Filed under: Hydrogenivirga sp. 128-5-R1-1
Lineage: Bacteria; Pseudomonadati; Aquificota; Aquificia; Aquificales; Aquificaceae
Rfam family: transfer-messenger RNA
About the family: Bacterial tmRNA, also known as 10Sa RNA or SsrA, is named for its dual tRNA and mRNA-like properties. Its role is to liberate the mRNA from a stalled ribosome. To accomplish this part of the tmRNA is used as a reading frame that ends in a translation stop signal.
Source: Rfam by way of RNAcentral
GGGGGCGACUGGUUUCGACGGGGUCUGAUGGUCCCCGGGGAGCAGGCAGGGUGGCAACCUUAACAGCCGUUAACAACACUUCCCGAAGCUGAAGUCGCUCUCGCUGCCUAAUUAAAAGGCAGCGCGCCUCAGGGAGGUUCGCCUCUGGCUGACCUGAAGGCGUCAGAGAACAGAGGCUCUGGAGACCCCGACGCACGGUGAGGGGUUUCCGAGAAAGGCAUCCGUGCUCCCCUCGGAGAGCCUGCCCGUGGGCAACCCGAGGGCAGAACUAAACACGGGCUAAGCCUGUAGAGCCCCGGACAGGACCAUCGUCCUCGGACGCGGGUUCGAUUCCCGCCGCCUCCACCA